Molecule: unclassified non-coding RNA, 200 nt
Filed under: uncultured Rhodotorula
Lineage: Eukaryota; Fungi; Basidiomycota
Description: sequence contains ITS2
Source: RNAcentral
UUAAGUUCAGCGGGUAGUCCUGACUGAUUUGAGGUCUAAAGCUUAAAUUGCUUUAAAAGCGCAUUAGAAGCACCUCUUACAUUUGAAGAAAACGUCCUUAGCGAAAUAAUUAUUACGCCAAGUCAAACCGUUUAUUUCAAUAGGGUUGCUCGUGUAUUUCAGCUGAGCCGGCAAUUACGCCGGCAGACAGCCAUAAUCCA